This 218-nucleotide unclassified non-coding RNA is filed under the name Glomeraceae sp. RNAcentral describes it as "partial contains 5.8S ribosomal RNA and internal transcribed spacer 2". The stretch from base 1 to 65 matches the Rfam family "5.8S ribosomal RNA", at positions 84 to 154 of the family's 154-position model. Lineage: Eukaryota; Fungi; Glomeromycota; Glomeromycetes; Glomerales; Glomeraceae. The record is from RNAcentral.
GUGAAUCAUCGAAUUUUUGAACGCAAAUUGCACUCUCUUCGGAGAGUAUGCCUGUUUGAGGGUCAGUAUUAAUAAAAAUCGGUGUGUUGCUUCUUUGUGACGUUCCGGAGUUUGGGUCAUCUUAAAAUAAUAUACGUUUUGGGUGUCUUAAAAUUGACUUUUUUUGACCAUUUUAGUUCUUCUUAGACUCUUUUUUUUAUUUUUUUGUCUUUAUGCUU